This 458-nucleotide long non-coding RNA is filed under the name Rattus norvegicus (Norway rat). Its description in RNAcentral is "long non-coding RNA NONRATT022576". Lineage: Eukaryota; Metazoa; Chordata; Mammalia; Rodentia; Muridae. The record is from RNAcentral.
ACAUAGACAGUGCCAUCUGGGGACUGGGAAUGCCCUCGAUGCUAUGGAGCAACUACGAAGGAUAGGUGAGAAGCUAAUACAGGGUUGUGCAUGUGAAGUGUACUUAGCAGACACAGAAAUACCUCAAGGUUUUGUGAGGUCAGAAGGCUACAUGGAUGAGGACAGGGCACGCACAGCAUGGCUGAGAGGUAAACUAAGGUUUAAUUAUCAAAAGCACCAGGAAAGAGGAUGUUUUAAGUCUCACUUGAUUUUGUCUGAGAGUACCUCACGUUGUGUUCAGAGGGAUUUAACAGAGUCGCCUGGGCCUGGUAUGGUGGACUUACUCCUCUUCAUUCACACUUAGGAGGCAGAGGUGGAAACAGAAGGAUUUCUGUGAGUUUGAAGCCAACUUGAGCUACAAAGUGAGUUCCAGGCUACUAAGAAAGACUCUCAGGAAAAGGAAAGAAAGAAAAGAAAAA